UAGGCUGCAGGUGUAAGUACAGUAAUGUAUUCAGCCAAGCAGUACUAAUG
RNAcentral lists this ribosomal RNA (50 nucleotides) under candidate division WWE3 bacterium. RNAcentral describes it as "partial 23S ribosomal RNA". The record is from RNAcentral. Lineage: Bacteria; candidate division WWE3.